Molecule: ribosomal RNA, 503 nt
Filed under: uncultured archaeon HA05
Lineage: Archaea
Description: bacterial SSU rRNA
Rfam family: Archaeal small subunit ribosomal RNA
Source: RNAcentral
AAGGGAACCCCGAGUGCCUGUAUAUGCAGGCUGUCCAGGUGUCUAAAAAACACCUGAAGAAAGGGCCGGGCAAGACCGGUGCCAGCCGCCGCGGUAAUACCGGCGGCUCGAGUGGUGGCCACUUUUAUUGGGCUUAAAGCGUUCGUAGCUGGGUUGUUAAGUCUCUUGGGAAAUCUGACGGCUCAACCGUCAGGCGUCCAAGGGAUACUGGCAAUCUUGGAACCGGGAGAGGUGAGGGGUACUUCGGGGGUAGGAGUGAAAUCCUGUAAUCCUCGAGGGACCACCUGUGGCGAAGGCGCCUCACCAGAACGGCUUCGACAGUGAGGGACGAAAGCUGGGGGAGCAAACCGGAUUAGAUACCCGGGUAGUCCCAGCCGUAAACGAUGCGCGUUAGGUGUAUCGGUGACCACGAGUCACCGAGGUGCCGAAGGGAAACCGUGAAACGUGCCGCCUGGGAAGUACGGUCGCAAGGCUGAAACUUAAAGGAAUUGGCGGGGGAGCAC